This is a non-coding RNA of Ictidomys tridecemlineatus (thirteen-lined ground squirrel), 72 nucleotides long. Lineage: Eukaryota; Metazoa; Chordata; Mammalia; Rodentia; Sciuridae. The record is from Rfam.
GGGGAUAUAUCUCAGUGGUAGAGUGCUUGCUUAGCAUAUGCAAGGCCCUGGGUUCAAUCCUCAGUACCACCA